UAAUGGCUAUUUCACCGCAUAAUUAGUAAGAAUAGCCUUAAAAAUGAGUUGCAAUAUUUGUUAUUUACAAUUGAGAAAACUGUUUGAAUUUAAUUUAAUCAAUCGUUUUGGUGUUUUAAUUUACCUUGCUGAUUAAUUAGUGGCCUUGAAACCGAGAUACAUAGGAUAAAUCCUGAUGGUGGAUUCUUCUGGUUCAUUAGCAAUUAUAUUGAUUUAACAAGUUCAGCCAUUUAGAAGAAAAGCUGGUUAAUAAAUGGAUUCUGAUGGUUCGUUGGCCCACCUUGAUUGUGUGUAACAAAAUUAACAAGAAUAUGAACAAUUGAUUAGUAUUAUGAACCGUGAAAUUGAUACCAGUUAUUUGGUGCUAAUGUGUUUCUACUUGAUUUAGUCAAUGUGACAGGCUACUACAGCAACUUUACCUUGCGGAUAUAAACACAGCAAAGUUAAUCUCCCUUUUCAAUCUUCCCUCUCAUCAUCUUCUUCUCCGUCUUAUUUUUUUCUCUCUUCUCCUCCUUUUACCUAUUUGUCUUCAAAUGUUUUCACUUCUUCCUCAUCAUCAUCUUAAGGGGUAGGAGGAGUUGAAAGUUUACUUCAAGACAGAUGAGAAAGUGAAGAUGAUAAAGAUGAACACAAUGUUUUAGCAAAUGUAAUACAAGAAACAAAACUUCAUCUUCAUCAUCAUCUUAUUAAUCUAACUUCUGGUUAGUUGUUUUGUUAUUUAACAAAAUAAACAACAGAAUCAGAUAAGGAGCGGUUCCUAACAACAAUUAAGAAACUGUAAUUGUUUAGUUUCUCUUUUUGCAACAAGAAACAAAACAGUAAGCUGAAUCAACUAAUCAUCAGUUAUAACAAACUCAACUAGCUACAAAUAAAGUCAAUUAAACGUCAAUCAGCAAACAGAUGAUGAAAAAGGAAGGAGUUAAAAAACUAAUCUAAUUUAACUCACCAUUUGUUUCCAUUUAUCAUUGUCUAUUAAUUUAAUUAAUAGACAAUGUCUUAACUACUUUCUGGAUAAACAGUGACAAUAUUUAAUGUUAUUUUGUGAAUAUAAGACAACAAGUUAAAAGCUUGUUGAACCAGAAUACAAAACCCAAUCUCAACAUGUCAGUUGAAAAACGUUAAUAUAUAUUAUUUAUGAUAUAAAUUAAAAAAGCUAAAUGUCUUGCAUAGAUCAA
Tetranychus urticae (two-spotted spider mite) is the source of this 1175-nucleotide long non-coding RNA. RefSeq lists it as uncharacterized. The record is from RefSeq and is a predicted model, not a curated record. Lineage: Eukaryota; Metazoa; Arthropoda; Arachnida; Trombidiformes; Tetranychidae.